GACGAACGCUGGCGGCGUGCCUAAUACAUGCAAGUAGAACGCUGAAGAGAGGAGCUUGCUCUUCUUGGAUGAGUUGCGAACGGGUGAGUAACGCGUAGGUAACCUGCCUUGUAGCGGGGGAUAACUAUUGGAAACGAUAGCUAAUACCGCAUAACAAUGGAUGACACAUGUCAUUUAUUUGAAAGGGGCAAUUGCUCCACUACAAGAUGGACCUGCGUUGUAUUAGCUAGUAGGUGAGGUAAUGGCUCACCUAGGCGACGAUACAUAGCCGACCUGAGAGGGUGAUCGGCCACACUGGGACUGAGACACGGCCCAGACUCCUACGGGAGGCAGCAGUAGGGAAUCUUCGGCAAUGGGGGCAACCCUGACCGAGCAACGCCGCGUGAGUGAAGAAGGUUUUCGGAUCGUAAAGCUCUGUUGUAAGUCAUGAACGGGUGUGAGAGUGGAAAGUUCACACUGUGACGGUAGCUUACCAGAAAGGGACGGCUAACUACGUG
This 497-nucleotide ribosomal RNA is filed under the name uncultured bacterium. RNAcentral's name for it is "partial 16S ribosomal RNA". It matches the Rfam family "Bacterial small subunit ribosomal RNA", at positions 28 to 507 of the family's 1533-position model. The record is from RNAcentral.